UUUCUUCUAUUCUCUGAAUCACAACCUUUACGAUUCUUCUUUUACUAAAAUCAUAUUUAUUAUAUGAUUUAUUUUCUCAGAGUUAUGUGUAUAUACACAACUCAAUCUUCAAUACAAAUUCUUUCUCAUUUAGUAAUUAACUAAAUCACUUUAUUUUUUUUAUUCAUUACAAUACGACUAGAGUAAUACCCUUUGCUGCCAGUUACAUAUAUCAAAUCCAUCAAGCAUAGCUUUAUACUAUUUCUAACUCAAGGGAAUAUAUUCAUUUCGUACAUCGUUCAACCUUCAUCAUCCGUAUAGCAAGUAAUAUUGCAUAACAUUGUUAACCUGCAAAAUGUUUGUUUUUACAAUAUUGAACUCGACGGCUCAGCAAAUUUAACAGUCUAUCAUGUUUCACAUAACAAAACUCUAUAUGCACCAAAUGCAUCGUACUUUCUUUUCUAUGCAUAUCCUACAUGCAUCCAUAAUUUCGUGCAAUGCAUAUAUUCAUGUAUUAUACAUUUCUAAUUAUUGAGUUACAUCAUACAACAUGUGUUAUCACAUAUCAUAUAUUAAUUGAGUUUCAUAACUCAAUUAACUUAAUCAUAUUUUGACUUUAACAAUUCAUAAAUCAUGGUAUGUAACUCAUCACAUAAUCACAUUUCAUCCACAAACAUAACUGAAAAACUUGGCUUGAUGGUUUAUAAAUCUUUUAUAAUGUAUUUACAGGCUUACUAUGCAUUUAUAUGUAAACUUAUGGAUUUAGCAAAUAUAACACAAUUUACCUUCAAUUGAUAUGUUAAUCGAAUUCUUGCUUCAAUUCUGACCUUUGACUUGAUUUGAAUCUUUUCCUUGCUUAUAGUUUGUAUGAAUUCUUCUACAAACUCAAUUAAUGACUUCUAUUUCCAGAGAAUUUGAUAAUAAUUGCUUGCAUGAUUUAAUGCUAUUUACGUUUGUAGUGAGAGGAUAGAGAAAUUAGGCAUAAGCCUUAGCGUGGAAUGGGUAGGAGAGGCAAAAAAUGAAACUGCUAGGAAUGAUUCUAGGCUUAUUAAACCUCCCCCGUCUCUUUUCUUCUCUCAUCAGAC
RNAcentral lists this long non-coding RNA (1064 nucleotides) under Panax ginseng (ginseng). RNAcentral's name for it is "long non-coding RNA (PGIN_LNC010134)". Lineage: Eukaryota; Viridiplantae; Streptophyta; Magnoliopsida; Apiales; Araliaceae. The record is from RNAcentral.